GGAAGUGGUGGCGGUGUUCGGUAGGGGCUCGGCUGUUCGCGCGGCGGGUGCGGCCAUGGCGCAACCGGGGAAGCUGCUCAAGGAGCAGAAGUACGACCGGCAGCUGAGGUUGUGGGGUGAUCAUGGGCAAGAGGCUUUAGAAUCUGCUCACGUUUGCCUAAUAAAUGCAACAGCCACAGGAACUGAAAUUCUAAAAAACUUGGUACUACCAGGUAUUGGUUCAUUUACAAUUAUUGAUGGAAAUCAGGUCAGCGGAGAAGAUGCUGGAAAUAAUUUUUUCCUUCAGCGAAGCAGCAUCGGCAAGAACCGAGCUCAAGCUGCCAUGGAAUUCUUACAAGAAUUAAAUAACGACGUCUCUGGAAGUUUUGUGGAAGAGGUUUACCAUUGUGGUUGCAACUCAGCUUCCUGAAAGUACAUUACUACGUUUAGCAGAUGUCCUCUGGAAUUCCCAAAUCCCUCUUUUGAUCUGUAGGACAUAUGGACUAGUUGGUUAUAUGAGGAUCAUUAUAAAAGAACAUCCAGUAAUAGAAUCUCAUCCAGAUAAUGCAUUAGAGGAUCUACGACUGGAUAAACCAUUUCCUGAACUGAGAGAACAUUUUCAGUCAUAUGAUUUGGAUCAUAUGGAAAAAAAGGACCACAGCCAUACUCCAUGGAUUGUGAUCGUAGCUAAAUAUUUAGCACAGUGGUAUAGUGAAGUAUGUCUUUUUUUAAAAACAAAUUCCAUAUGUGACUGUAUUUUCAAUUUAUUAUAAAGGAUUUCAGUGAAGGAGAGUAGGAGAUUAACUUUUUUCCUUAUGUGGUAAUUGGGCAGGUGGGUGCUUUUCUGUUUAAAUCUGGCAGUUCCUCUUUUGAUACUGAUACUUUUACUACCGAAAUCAAAUAUCAAUAAAUGUUAUUCUGAAACUGGCAGUGGGGAAUGUAGAAAAAUGGCUCGCAGUUUUUGUUUUCUUUCAAGUCAGCCUCUGAUUUCACUGAGGUAUGUAUUUGCUGAUGAAAUCUCAUGUGGAUGGGAGAAUGGGGAGAAGUUUGGACUCUCAAUUUCCAUGUUUUGGUUUUUUAUAACUAGAAUUUAAAAUUUUUAACCAAUUUAGACAAAUGGACGAAUACCUAAAACGUAUAAGGAAAAAGAAGACUUCAGAGAUUUGAUUAGACAAGGAAUUCUAAAGAAUGAAAAUGGGACUCCGGAAGAUGAAGAGAAUUUUGAAGAAGCUAUUAAAAAUGUGAACACAGCACUAAAUACAACUCAGAUCCCAAGCAGUAUUGAAGAUAUAUUUAAUGAUGAUCGCUGCAUAAAUAUCACCAAACAGACUCCAUCAUUUUGGAUUUUAGCUCGCGCCUUAAAGGAAUUUGUGGCCAAAGAGGGUCAAGGAAAUUUACCUGUUCGAGGCACAAUUCCUGAUAUGAUCGCAGAUUCAAGCAAAUAUAUAAAGCUGCAAAAUGUUUACCGUGAAAAAGCAAAGAAAGAUGCUGCUGCUGUGGGUAAUCAUGUUGCCAAAUUGUUGCAGUCUAUCGGCCAGGCACCAGAGUCCAUUUCAGAGAAAGAAUUAAAAUUACUCUGCACCAAUUCUGCAUUUCUUCGAGUGGUAAGAUGUCGAUCCUUAGCUGAAGAAUAUGGCUUGGAUACAAUUAACAAGGAUGAAAUAAUUUCUAGCAUGGACAAUCCCGAUAAUGAGAUAGUAUUAUACUUAAUGUUACGGGCUAUUGAUAGAUUUCAUAAACAACAUGGUAGAUAUCCAGGGGUAUCUAACUACCAGGUUGAAGAAGAUAUAGGAAAGCUGAAGUCUUGUCUCACUGGCUUCCUUCAGGAAUAUGGAUUAUCUGUAAUGGUGAAAGAUGAUUAUGUCCAUGAAUUUUGCCGAUAUGGAGCUGCUGAGCCACACACCAUUGCUGCGUUUUUAGGAGGAGCUGCUGCUCAGGAGGUUAUCAAAAUAAUCACCAAACAGUUUGUAAUUUUUAAUAAUACUUACAUCUAUAGUGGCAUGUCACAAACUUCAGCAACUUUCCAGUUGUAGAAUAAGCACCCUAUGUCGUGUGUCAGUGAUUUAAACUGUAAUGGCCUUCAGGUUGUGCUCUAGUCUGUAAAAUUCUGCUAAGGGAGAAGUGUUAAAUUGUUUCCUUAAUAAACAUUGUUCUCAUUUGU
This is an RNA transcript of Lynx canadensis (Canada lynx), 2140 nucleotides long. It is a transcript of the gene named NEDD8 activating enzyme E1 subunit 1, with no coding region annotated. NCBI's taxonomy places the organism in Eukaryota, Metazoa, Chordata, Mammalia, Carnivora, Felidae. The record is from RefSeq and is a predicted model, not a curated record. The transcript has 19 exons.